Molecule: ribosomal RNA, 786 nt
Filed under: Triticum aestivum (bread wheat)
Lineage: Eukaryota; Viridiplantae; Streptophyta; Magnoliopsida; Poales; Poaceae
Description: partial small subunit ribosomal RNA
Source: RNAcentral
AUGUUUGGCACUAAAUAUUUGAAUGAUGAGCAUGAUUGCAAUGUUGUUAGUAUGAAUUCCUUGAAUAUCCAUGACGCUAAUGAUAUGAAAAGCCACAAGCUUGGGGAAGCUAUGUUUGAUGAAGAUGAUAUUUUUUGUCCCCCAAGUUUUGAUGAGCAAAUUUAUUAUGAUGAAAGAAUGCCUCCUAUUUAUGAUGAUUAUAUUGAUGAAAGUAGAUUUGGAGAGGUCAUGACUUUAUUUUGUGAUGAGUCCACUAUUCCGGAAGAGGUUCCAAUUGAUUAUGAGAACAAAGUUUCUAUCUAUGAUGAUUAUUGUGAUGACUUGUAUGCUAUAAAUAAUAAUGAUAUCCAUGAAACUCGUCUUCAUGAUUUUAGUUUUCAAUUGGAUUAUUCCUCACAUGAUAAUUAUUUUGUUGAGCUUGCUCCCACUACUAUUCAUGAGAAGAAAUUUGCUUAUAUGGAGAGUAAUAAAAUUUCUAUGCUUGUAGAUCAUGAAAAGAAUGCUUUAGGUGCCGGUUAUAUUGUUGAAUUCGUUCAUGAUGCUACUGAAAAUUAUUAUGAGGGAGGAACUUAUGUUUGUAGGAAUUACAAUAAUAUCAAGUUUCCUCUCUAUGUGCUUAAAGUUUUGAAGUUAUCCUUGUUUUACCUUCCUAUGCAAGUUGAUUCUUGUUCCCACAAGUUGUUUGUUCACAAAAUCCCUAUGCAUAGGAAGUAUGUUAGACUUAAAUGUGCUAGUCAUAUUCUUCAUGAUGCUCUCUUUAUGUUUCAAUUCUUAUCUUUUAUGUGA